This 901-nucleotide long non-coding RNA is filed under the name Homo sapiens (human). RNAcentral's name for it is "HSALNT0390532". The record is from RNAcentral. Lineage: Eukaryota; Metazoa; Chordata; Mammalia; Primates; Hominidae.
CUUGAGCUGGAGUCACCCAGCCUGGCCAAGAACUGGAAAAGUCUCUUUGGGGAUUUGGACCCAUUUCUGAAAAGCUCAUGAAAACCACUUUGCCUUGGACUCCUGCCCCCAGCCGGAGCCCUCCAUAUCCAUUUAACCCAAAUCCCCAACUCCAGGGAUGACUACAGGUUGGGGGAGCCCCGAGAGCAAGGGAGGUGAGGAAACUGAUGUCCAGAAAGAAGCAGGCAUCAGUGGAGACACUCCUAGCCCUGCUGCCCUCUCCUCACUGCACACACUUCCAGGUUCAGACAAACCGGAAAGGAAACCCACCAUGCAGGACUGUCCAUGUGAUGGCUCUUCCCGUGGCUCCAUUUCUAAGCGCCUCCGAGGACCUCAUCGUGGCCCAGGACCGCAAGCCAAGGCCACCCCAGUGUCCUUACCAUCCUGGGAAUGGGAGGAGUCAGGCCCAGCCUUGUCCUGUCUGCCCCCCUGGAAGCCUUCCCUGAGCACUGGCCUCUUAUUUACCCGUCUUUGUCUCUGGCUUGUUGGUAUCUGUCCCUUGUCUGAUUAGGGAACGCCUGAGGUCAGGAUCUUUGCCUCCCCAAUCAGAUUGUCAGGCAGGAGUGGGGGUAGUGCAGAUGCUGGGUCAUUUCUACAUGUGAGACCAAAUAGUGGUCCUGUUUAAGUUGAUCCCCUUGAAAGAAAAUUCUGGAAAAGCUCCUCAGAUGCACAGAUACACAGAAUCAGACCUUGGGCAAAGUGUGUAGUUGUGCUUUUGAAGCUGUGCAACCUUGGACAAACUACUUGACUUCUCUGUGCCUCAGUUUCCUUAUUUGUGAAAUGAGGGGUAGUCAUGAUACCUUCCCCAUGAGGUUGAUGGGAGGAUUGAGUUAAUAUUUAUAAAGCAUUUCAGACAGUGCCA